Molecule: ribosomal RNA, 429 nt
Filed under: uncultured bacterium
Lineage: Bacteria
Description: partial 16S ribosomal RNA
Rfam family: Bacterial small subunit ribosomal RNA
Source: RNAcentral
AACGAACGCUGGCGGCAUGCCUAACACAUGCAAGUCGAACGAGACCUUCGGGUCUAGUGGCGCACGGGUGCGUAACGCGUGGGAACCUGCCCUUAGGUUCGGAAUAACUCCCCGAAAGGGGUGCUAAUACCGGAUAAUGUCUUCGGACCAAAGAUUUAUCGCCUUUGGAUGGGCCUGCGUUGGAUUAGCUAGUUGGUAGGGUAAAAGCCUACCAAGGCGACGAUCCAUAGCUGGUCUGAGAGGAUGAUCAGCCACACUGGGACUGAGACACGGCCCAGACUCCUACGGGAGGCAGCAGUGGGGAAUAUUGGACAAUGGGCGAAAGCCUGAUCCAGCAAUGCCGCGUGAGUGAUGAAGGCCUUAGGGUUGUAAAGCUCUUUUACCCGGGAUGAUAAUGACAGUACCGGGAGAAUAAGCUCCGGCUAACUC